ACGAACGCUGGCGGCGUGCUUAACACAUGCAAGUCGAACGGAAAGGCCCUGCUUUUGUGGGUUGCUCGAGUGGCGAACGGGUGAGUAACACGUGAGUAACCUGCCCUUGACUUUGGGAUAACUUCAGGAAACUGGGGCUAAUACCGGAUAGGAGCUCCUGCUGCAUGGUGGGGGUUGGAAAGUUUCGGCGGUUGGGGAUGGACUCGCGGCUUAUCAGCUUGUUGGUGGGGUAGUGGCUUACCAAGGCUUUGACGGGUAGCCGGCCUGAGAGGGUGACCGGCCACAUUGGGACUGAGAUACGGCCCAGACUCCUACGGGAGGCAGCAGUGGGGAAUAUUGCACAAUGGGCGGAAGCCUGAUGCAGCAACGCCGCGUGUGGGAUGACGGCCUUCGGGUUGUAAACCGCUUUCGCCUGUGACGAAGCGUGAGUGACGGUAAUGGGUAAAGAAGCACCGGCUAACUACGUG
RNAcentral lists this ribosomal RNA (467 nucleotides) under uncultured bacterium. RNAcentral's name for it is "partial 16S ribosomal RNA". It matches the Rfam family "Bacterial small subunit ribosomal RNA", at positions 29 to 507 of the family's 1533-position model. The record is from RNAcentral.